This 212-nucleotide long non-coding RNA is filed under the name Elaeis guineensis (African oil palm). RNAcentral describes it as "long non-coding RNA (EGUI_LNC035958)". The record is from RNAcentral. Lineage: Eukaryota; Viridiplantae; Streptophyta; Magnoliopsida; Arecales; Arecaceae.
UGUAUUAGAUUAGAUUUAAAGGACUGUUAUUAUGUUUCUGUAGCUAGUCGGAAUUUAAUUUUCAUAUCUGUGCUAGCACAAAAAUAUUUUGAAAUUAGUUUCAAUAAAGACUUUUGUUUCAUUUAUUUACAAAAUAAAUUGAUUGCAUGAGGUCAUUUAAUUGACAGUCUUUAUCACUUAUAUGUUGAUACGAAUGUGAACUUAAACGAGCA